CGAAAGAGAAGCGAAGCGGUGACGUGGAGCAAACCUCAGAAAGCCAAUCUCAGUUCGGAUUGUAGGCUGCAACCCGCCUACACGAAGUUGGAAUCGCUAGUAAUCGCGAAUCAGAAUGUCGCGGUGAAUACGUUCCCGGGUCUUGUACACACCGCCCGUCACACCACGAGAGUUUACAACACCCGAAGUCAGUGGCCUAACCGCAAGGAGGGAGCUGCCUAAGGUGGGGUAGAUGAUUGGGGUGAAGUCGUAACAAGGUAUC
RNAcentral lists this ribosomal RNA (262 nucleotides) under uncultured bacterium. Its description in RNAcentral is "partial 16S ribosomal RNA". It matches the Rfam family "Bacterial small subunit ribosomal RNA", at positions 1239 to 1500 of the family's 1533-position model. The record is from RNAcentral.